GACGAACGCUGGCGGCGUGCUUAACACAUGCAAGUCGAACGGAAAGGGCCUGCUUUUGUGGGGUGCUCGAGGGGCGAACGGGUGAGUAACACGUGAGUAACCUGCCCUGGACUUUGGGAUAACUUCAGGAAACUGGGGCUAAUACCGGAUAGGAGCUCCUGCUGCAUGGUGGGGGUUGGAAAGUUUCGGCGGUUGGGGAUGGACUCGGGGCUUAUGAGCUUGUUGGUUGGGUAGUGGCUUACCAAGGCUUUGGCAGGUAGCCGGCCUGAGAGGGUGACCGGGCUCAUGGGGCCUAAGGGACGGCCCAGAGUCCAACGGGAGGCAGCAGUGGGGAGUAUGGCCCAGUGGUGGGGCGCCUGAUGAGGAGACGCCGGGAGCGGGAUGACGGCCUUGGUGUUGUAAAGCGCUUUAGCUUGUGACGAAGCGUGAGUGACGGUAACGGGAAAAGAAGCACCGGCUAACUACGUG
Molecule: ribosomal RNA, 468 nt
Filed under: uncultured bacterium
Lineage: Bacteria
Description: partial 16S ribosomal RNA
Rfam family: Bacterial small subunit ribosomal RNA
Source: RNAcentral